This 75-nucleotide transfer RNA is filed under the name Chloroflexota bacterium. RNAcentral's name for it is "Chloroflexi bacterium tRNA-Gly". It matches the Rfam family "tRNA". From Rfam's summary of the family: Transfer RNA (tRNA) molecules are approximately 80 nucleotides in length. Their secondary structure includes four short double-helical elements and three loops (D, anti-codon, and T loops). The record is from RNAcentral. Lineage: Bacteria; Bacillati; Chloroflexota. RNAcentral also lists the same sequence under 1 other name.
GCGGGUGUAACUCAGCGGUAGAGUACUUGCUUCCCAAGCAAGGGGUCACGGGUUCGAAUCCCGCCACCCGCUCCA